RNAcentral lists this long non-coding RNA (1177 nucleotides) under Monodelphis domestica (gray short-tailed opossum). RNAcentral describes it as "lncRNA (ENSMODG00000045606.1)". The record is from RNAcentral. Lineage: Eukaryota; Metazoa; Chordata; Mammalia; Didelphimorphia; Didelphidae.
AAGAUGGGGUAGUCAUCAGACAGAGUUUCUCAGCCUUUCAUGAUUGGACAUUUUUGCUGAUACCUUGAAACUGAUUAGAACCUCCGAAAGCUGGACUGGAUAGAUAGGAGGGCAGGCUGUUGCUGGGGACUGACAUGACCAGUCGAUCUCAAGGGUUAUUAGGAGCACACAUUGUGGGCUUUGGGAUUGCUUGCAUUGGAUUUUGAAGACAAAAUCACCAGCCAGAGAUGUAUAAAGAGAUAAUGCUUUUGUUUCUUUUGUUAAGCCAUGCUUCAACGCAAACUGAAACAUAUCCCUCAGAAUCACCAGACCCAACUGAGCAUAAAAUUGAUGAAUCGGAAUAUGACAGCACUAGUACAAACGUGCAAAGUAAUGGACACCAAUCCACACCGAAACCAGAACUUAAAGAAGGAUCAGGAAAUCGCUUGACCCACGCUAUCUCUGGACCAGACAUCUCCCUUUUUCUAAGUGGUCACCAUCAUAGUUUUUGCUGUAAUGGCUGUCAUCGUUGGAGUCAUCAUCCUUGUGUCACUCUUGGUUCGUCGACUGACAAGGAAUAGUAACAUGUAAAAACAUCCUCCCAAAAUGACUGGAAAAGAUCCCGAGAAGACGACUGUAUAAAUGAUUCUGUGGAAAAGUGGGAAGCAUUGUUCUGUCACAAUAAUAGAAGGCAUCGCUCUGGACUGGAGACAACAUUUCAUCCAGAAGCCCCUACUCUAGGGACUCAAUGAUGGACAAAUGGCCCUGCUGACCCAACGUUUUUGAUAUUGUUAAAAGUUGUUUUAUUCAUACUCUUGCUUAAGUUUUGUAUUUGCUUAAUCGCCGAGUUAAGAGUUUAGGAACUAACCUGUGAUCUCCCAUCACAUCUUUGGAAAGGUGUUCUACUGGCCUGAUAAUCACUUUAGACUGGGUACCUAAAGACAUUGCAAUGCCAUCAUCUUCAGAUUUGUUUAAACCUUCAGUUCUCCCUACUACUUCUACUAACCUUUUGACCUGGGCAACAAAGGUGCUAGCAUGCCUAUACAUGGAAAUGUUUCACAUGCCAAUGUAAAUUCUGCUCACAAAGGCAAUUAGCCCAGUACAUACAGUAUCAUGGUAUCAGAAUCAUUUAAGGAUUCUGUAAUGGUGUAACAAAGCAUACCAUUUAAUGCAGAAAAGAGACUGUGAAAUAUAAAAG